GGGCCAGUGGUCUAACGGCAUGACAUCGCCUUCGCAAGGCGGUAAACCGGGUUCAAUUCCCGGCUGGUCCA
RNAcentral lists this transfer RNA (71 nucleotides) under Candidatus Woesearchaeota archaeon. Its description in RNAcentral is "tRNA-Ala". It matches the Rfam family "tRNA". Rfam says of the family: Transfer RNA (tRNA) molecules are approximately 80 nucleotides in length. The record is from RNAcentral. Lineage: Archaea; Nanobdellati; Candidatus Woesearchaeota.